CAGAAGCUGUGUUGAAUACUUUUUUUUCUAAAUAAACAAUAUAUAUAGGUGGGUGGAGAAUGGGAUUAUUGAUGCAAGUACCUGCGGUUCAGUCCUCGUGUUCAUUAUAAAGAAACGUGAAGUAGUACUUCUUGGACAUUUUCGGGAUGUUGAUUUUUAUACGCCCGUAUAAAAUACGGGACGUAUUAUGUGAAACCCCUUGGCGGCGGGCGGCGGGCGGCGGGCGGCGGGCGGAAGGCAUCACUUUGUCCGGACUCUAAUUCAAAUUGUAUUCAUCCGAUCUUCACCAAACUUGGUCAGCAGUUGCAUCUAGUUGAUAUCUAGGCCAAGUUCGAAUAUGGGUCAUGCCGGGUCAAAAACUAGGUCAUAGGGUCAAUAAGUGCAUUUUCAAAGGGGCCACUUUGUCCGGACUCUAUUUCAAAUUGUAUUCAUCCGAUCUUCACCAAACUUGGUCAGCAGUUGCAUCUAGUUGAUAUAUAGGCCAAGUUCGAAUAUGGGUCAUGCCGGGUCAAAAACUAGGUCAUAGGGUCAAUUAGUGCAUUUUCAACGGCGCCACUUUGUCCGGACUCUAAUUCAAAUUGUAUUCAUCCGAUCUUCACCAAACUUGGUCAGAAGUUGUAUCUAGACAAUAUCUAGGUCAAGUUCGAAUAUGGGUCAUGCCGGGUCAAAAACUAGGUCACAGGGUCACUUAAACCAUUUCAAGCAUUUAGCAUGGUGUCCGCUCUCUAAUUGAAGUAGUUAUCAUCCGAUCUUCACCAAAUUUGGUCAGAAGUUGUGUCUAGACAAUAUCUACAUGUAGGUCAAG
Molecule: long non-coding RNA, 805 nt
Organism: Dreissena polymorpha
Lineage: Eukaryota; Metazoa; Mollusca; Bivalvia; Myida; Dreissenidae
Exons: 2
Source: RefSeq, a predicted model, not a curated record